UACGUAGGUGGCAAGCGUUGUCCGGAUUUACUGGGCGUAAAGGGCGCGUAGGCGGCGCGGUAAGUCACUUGUGAAAUCUCUGAGCUUAACUCAGAACGGCCAAGUGAUACUGCAGUGCUAGAGUGUGGAAGGGGCAAUCGGAAUUCUUGGUGUAGCGGUGAAAUGCGUAGAUAUCAAGAGGAACACCUGAGGUGAAGACGGGUUGCUGGGCCAACACUGACGCUGAGGCGCGAAAGCCAGGGGAGCAAACGGG
RNAcentral lists this ribosomal RNA (253 nucleotides) under uncultured bacterium. RNAcentral's name for it is "partial 16S ribosomal RNA". It matches the Rfam family "Bacterial small subunit ribosomal RNA", at positions 524 to 776 of the family's 1533-position model. The record is from RNAcentral.